RNAcentral lists this unclassified non-coding RNA (253 nucleotides) under uncultured Micrococcaceae bacterium. RNAcentral's name for it is "contains 16S-23S intergenic spacer region". It matches the Rfam family "Bacterial small subunit ribosomal RNA", at positions 524 to 776 of the family's 1533-position model. Lineage: Bacteria; Bacillati; Actinomycetota; Actinomycetes; Micrococcales; Micrococcaceae. The record is from RNAcentral.
UACGUAGGGCGCAAGCGUUAUCCGGAAUUAUUGGGCGUAAAGAGCUCGUAGGCGGUUUGUCGCGUCUAUCGUGAAAGUCCGAGGCUCAACCUCGGAUCUGCGGUGGGUACGGGCAGACUAGAGUGAUGUAGGGGAGACUGGAAUUCCUGGUGUAGCGGUGAAAUGCGCAGAUAUCAGGAGGAACACCGAUGGCGAAGGCAGGUCUCUGGGCUGUAACUGACGCUGAGGAGCGAAAGCAUGGGGAGCGAACAGG